RNAcentral lists this long non-coding RNA (813 nucleotides) under Sinocyclocheilus anshuiensis. Its description in RNAcentral is "lncRNA (ENSSANG00000039702.1)". The record is from RNAcentral. Lineage: Eukaryota; Metazoa; Chordata; Actinopteri; Cypriniformes; Cyprinidae.
CUGGAAAUCAAUCCAUUUUUAAACCUGAUGACAUCAUCAUGACGAUGAUCAGCACAUGAGGUACAUAUUUUUCAACUACUUUUAGGUGAUAAUUUCACCUAUUUUUAGCACACGCAAAACCCACGGAACUUUAGUAUAACCCAUGAACUUACUUAAGUAUAGAUUUGGUGUGAUCCCUUCCUAAACCUCCCCAGUAAAGAGCAGAGGUGUAGCUUACUACUCUAUCUCUGUCCACCUCUCAGCACUGCGGUACCUGUGACAAAUGUCCCUGUGAGGAAGGGGACACGUCAGCACACUGCAAUCACUGCGAAGUAGGUUUUCUUCUUCUUAAUAUGAUCAAAAUUCAUAUUAAUAAAGGCCAAAUGUAUGUGGACACCUGAACACUACACCUCAUUUAACAACAACAAAAACAAACAUCUAUGCACGUUAUGCAUCAUCUACCCUCUUAUCUUCUUCCACAGGAUUGUUCCUACUGUUACGUUUGUCCUGUGAUCUGUGAAACAGUCUGCCAGCCAGGUGGAAUUCUUGAUGUACUGAGCGGUUCUCUCUACCAGACGGUGAACACGUUGCUCUGAAAACGUUCAGCAUUCUUCACAGAGGAACUACAGACUAGCGUUCAAAUCAUUCAUUUGUAGGCCUGUCUAUUUGACUGGCAAGAUCCGGGGAUUCUCACUCUGAGGCCAGCAAAGAGAGUGGACAACAGAUCUUAAAUAUAAGCAAGGAACUGCCAGGACCCUAAUGUUUACCAUUUAAUGGCAUUUUAAAGGUGACUUUACAGGCUGCAUUAAAUGAAUAACAAAUAUGGUUACGUGC